GCCAGCAGCCGCGGUAAUACGGAGGGGGCUAGCGUUAUCCGGAUUUACUGGGCGUAAAGGGUGCGUAGGCGGUCUUUCAAGUCAGGAGUGAAAGGCUACGGCUCAACCGUAGUAAGCUCUUGAAACUGGGAGACUUGAGUGCAGGAGAGGAGAGUGGAAUUCCUAGUGUAGCGGUGAAAUGCGUAGAUAUUAGGAGGAACACCAGUUGCGAAGGCGGCUCUCUGGACUGU
Molecule: ribosomal RNA, 230 nt
Filed under: Clostridioides difficile
Lineage: Bacteria; Bacillati; Bacillota; Clostridia; Peptostreptococcales; Peptostreptococcaceae
Description: partial 16S ribosomal RNA
Rfam family: Bacterial small subunit ribosomal RNA
Source: RNAcentral